GCGUUAAGGAUUCUUAACCAAGAAGUUUGUGAUCAAGUCAGGCGUUGGGGGUAUGAUGAACUACGUUUGUAUCACACAUUAAAAUUGUAAAAUGAUAAACAUUUUUGAGAUGGGAUUCCUUGAAGAGUGCAAGAUUUUUGCCUGGCAAUUCUAACUUGAGCAAUUCACCAAACGUUUCUUAUUGUUUCUUCUCAUAUGAAACUUCACAUUUCUUCCUGGAACCAUUCAGAUACCAGGAAAGGGGAGGGGUAGAGGCUGUUACUCAUGCAACCUUUAUCUAGAAAGCAUGCGCACAGUUAUUUAUCAAAUGAUUCUGCCUGUUUUAGGAACAAAUGAUCUUUAACUUGUCCUUUCAACUAAUAACUAAUUUUGCCAUUACGUAUUAUUUGUUCAACACCGUGUGGCUUGGCAUUGUACUGAUAAACUCAAAAUGAAAAAAAAAUAAAUAAAUGCUAUAGUCUCAACCAGGAAAUAGUGUUCCACUAACAUUGUCAUUAAUCUAUUGCCAAGAGCUCAUUCAUAGGUCAGGUAAGUAUGAAGUAAAGGAAAUCAAGAGAAAGGUCAUAUGAGUGAAAAAAAAAUACAACUCUACAUGCAGUAAUUAGUAAUGAGAGAAAAAGUGAAGUUUAGAAUAUUCAGUCAUUGUAAACAAUGUUUCUACUGUUUUGCAAAUAAAUCUGGAGUCAAGCAAAUCAAAGAGAACAGCUAUAAAGAGCUUUAAAAAGUAGGUGACUGUUUAUAAUGAUCAAACCUAAAUGAAAUUUCUUUUAUUGUUUCUAAGAAACAUGUAAUUAUUAGUGGGCUGCCUAGUAAAAUAUAGAGGAUUAUUUGCAACCUCAAAUUUAAAUUCACCUAUCCUAUACAAGUGUGAAUUUAUGACAUCACUCAGUUUUCAAACAAAGAAGUAUUAUGAGGUAGUGGAAAUUUUCCCCAGGAAAUUUUAAUUCUGUUUUGCUUUCUAUUUUGGUAUAGAAGUACGAGGUUCAUGAAAGACAAAAGCAUAUUCUCUUUAAGCUUAUUAGUCUUUUUAGAGGUAGUCCUUAGGGAAAUAACUGUGAUGCUCAUACCAGGAAUGAUCAUACAAAAGGGCUAUUAACUCAUCAUACCUUCAUCUGAAGGGCAUCUUUACAGCUGAAGAGAGAGAAGAUGAUACUACUCUCUCAAUGUACAGAAUCCCAAGGAAAAUGCAAAGACACCAUUAGGCAUUAGAUAUCAUUGCUCUAUGCAGAAACUAUAAAUUUGCUUAUACAUUCAUGGGAAGUGAGUAGGAGGUUCAUUCUGAACUUAAUAUUUUGCAUAAAAAGUCCAAAUAAAUUUUGGUUUGGUUGUCAGAGUUUUAUCUUACUUAACAGAAUUUUCUUCUAGGCAACUUCACAAGGAUGAUUUUUUGCUUACAUUUAACAAACUUAAUCCCAUAUUCAUCUUUCUCUUUUUCUUUACCUAAGUACAGACUCUUAAUUCAUUCUCUCUCACUCCCUCCCCCCACUACCACUCAGUAUCAUGUACUUCCUCAUUUAUGUUCACAUUAACAUUUUCAAGUCACUGAGUCCAGAACUCUGGAGUCUGUUUUACCUGAUCAUGUCUCAUAGCCCAUUCAAAACUUUUAUCUUCAAAAGGAGAUGGAGAAAAGAAAUAAAGGAAAAUGGAAGAUAAUAUAUAGGAAUAUGCCUCAUCCUCACAAAUUAACUGUUAGAAUCCUUACUAGGAGAAAUAAAAGUUGUUCAUAAAGCCUA
Long non-coding RNA from Perognathus longimembris pacificus (Pacific pocket mouse), 1733 nucleotides. RefSeq lists it as uncharacterized. NCBI's taxonomy places the organism in Eukaryota, Metazoa, Chordata, Mammalia, Rodentia, Heteromyidae. The transcript has 3 exons. The record is from RefSeq and is a predicted model, not a curated record.